RNAcentral lists this ribosomal RNA (496 nucleotides) under uncultured bacterium. Its description in RNAcentral is "partial 16S ribosomal RNA". It matches the Rfam family "Bacterial small subunit ribosomal RNA", at positions 29 to 507 of the family's 1533-position model. The record is from RNAcentral.
ACGAACGCUGGCGGCGUGCCUAAUACAUGCAAGUUGAGCGCUGAAGGUUGGUACUUGUACCAACUGGAUGAGCAGCGAACGGGUGAGUAACGCGUGGGGAAUCUGCCUUUGAGCGGGGGACAACAUUUGGAAACGAAUGCUAAUACCGCAUAAAAACUUUAAACACAAGUUUUAAGUUUGAAAGAUGCAAUUGCAUCACUCAAAGAUGAUCCCGCGUUGUAUUAGCUAGUUGGUGAGGUAAAGGCUCACCAAGGCGAUGAUACAUAGCCGACCUGAGAGGGUGAUCGGCCACAUUGGGACUGAGACAUGGCCCAAACUCCUACGGGAGGCAGCAGUAGGGAAUCUUCGGCAAUGGACGAAAGUCUGACCGAGCAACGCCGCGUGAGUGAAGAAGGGUUUCGGAUCGUAAAACUCUGUUGGUAGAGAAGAACGUUGGUGAGAGUGGAAAGCUCAUCAAGUGACGGUAACUACCCAGAAAGGGACGGCUAACUACGUG